RNAcentral lists this ribosomal RNA (2903 nucleotides) under Escherichia coli. RNAcentral's name for it is "23S ribosomal RNA". It matches the Rfam family "Bacterial large subunit ribosomal RNA". Lineage: Bacteria; Pseudomonadati; Pseudomonadota; Gammaproteobacteria; Enterobacterales; Enterobacteriaceae. The record is from RNAcentral.
UUAAGCGACUAAGCGUACACGGUGGAUGCCCUGGCAGUCAGAGGCGAUGAAGGACGUGCUAAUCUGCGAUAAGCGUCGGUAAGGUGAUAUGAACCGUUAUAACCGGCGAUUUCCGAAUGGGGAAACCCAGUGUGUUUCGACACACUAUCAUUAACUGAAUCCAUAGGUUAAUGAGGCGAACCGGGGGAACUGAAACAUCUAAGUACCCCGAGGAAAAGAAAUCAACCGAGAUUCCCCCAGUAGCGGCGAGCGAACGGGGAGGAGCCCAGAGCCUGAAUCAGUGUGUGUGUUAGUGGAAGCGUCUGGAAAGGCGCGCGAUACAGGGUGACAGCCCCGUACACAAAAAUGCACAUGCUGUGAGCUCGAUGAGUAGGGCGGGACACGUGGUAUCCUGUCUGAAUAUGGGGGGACCAUCCUCCAAGGCUAAAUACUCCUGACUGACCGAUAGUGAACCAGUACCGUGAGGGAAAGGCGAAAAGAACCCCGGCGAGGGGAGUGAAAAAGAACCUGAAACCGUGUACGUACAAGCAGUGGGAGCACAGAGCAAUCUGUGUGACUGCGUACCUUUUGUAUAAUGGGUCAGCGACUUAUAUUCUGUAGCAAGGUUAACCGAAUAGGGGAGCCGAAGGGAAACCGAGUCUUAACUGGGCGUUAAGUUGCAGGGUAUAGACCCGAAACCCGGUGAUCUAGCCAUGGGCAGGUUGAAGGUUGGGUAACACUAACUGGAGGACCGAACCGACUAAUGUUGAAAAAUUAGCGGAUGACUUGUGGCUGGGGGUGAAAGGCCAAUCAAACCGGGAGAUAGCUGGUUCUCCCCGAAAGCUAUUUAGGUAGCGCCUCGUGAAUUCAUCUCCGGGGGUAGAGCACUGUUUCGGCAAGGGGGUCAUCCCGACUUACCAACCCGAUGCAAACUGCGAAUACCGGAGAAUGUUAUCACGGGAGACACACGGCGGGUGCUAACGUCCGUCGUGAAGAGGGAAACAACCCAGACCGCCAGCUAAGGUCCCAAAGUCAUGGUUAAGUGGGAAACGAUGUGGGAAGGCCCAGACAGCCAGGAUGUUGGCUUAGAAGCAGCCAUCAUUUAAAGAAAGCGUAAUAGCUCACUGGUCGAGUCGGCCUGCGCGGAAGAUGUAACGGGGCUAAACCAUGCACCGAAGCUGCGGCAGCGACGCUGAUGCGUUGUUGGGUAGGGGAGCGUUCUGUAAGCCUGCGAAGGUGUGCUGUGAGGCAUGCUGGAGGUAUCAGAAGUGCGAAUGCUGACAUAAGUAACGAUAAAGCGGGUGAAAAGCCCGCUCGCCGGAAGACCAAGGGUUCCUGUCCAACGUUAAUCGGGGCAGGGUGAGUCGACCCCUAAGGCGAGGCCGAAAGGCGUAGUCGAUGGGAAACAGGUUAAUAUUCCUGUACUUGGUGUUACUGCGAAGGGGGGACGGAGAAGGCUAUGUUGGCCGGGCGACGGUUGUCCCGGUUUAAGCGUGUAGGCUGGUUUUCCAGGCAAAUCCGGAAAAUCAAGGCUGAGGCGUGAUGACGAGGCACUACGGUGCUGAAGCAACAAAUGCCCUGCUUCCAGGAAAAGCCUCUAAGCAUCAGGUAACAUCAAAUCGUACCCCAAACCGACACAGGUGGUCAGGUAGAGAAUACCAAGGCGCUUGAGAGAACUCGGGUGAAGGAACUAGGCAAAAUGGUGCCGUAACUUCGGGAGAAGGCACGCUGAUAUGUAGGUGAAGUCCCUCGCGGAUGGAGCUGAAAUCAGUCGAAGAUACCAGCUGGCUGCAACUGUUUAUUAAAAACACAGCACUGUGCAAACACGAAAGUGGACGUAUACGGUGUGACGCCUGCCCGGUGCCGGAAGGUUAAUUGAUGGGGUUAGCGCAAGCGAAGCUCUUGAUCGAAGCCCCGGUAAACGGCGGCCGUAACUAUAACGGUCCUAAGGUAGCGAAAUUCCUUGUCGGGUAAGUUCCGACCUGCACGAAUGGCGUAAUGAUGGCCAGGCUGUCUCCACCCGAGACUCAGUGAAAUUGAACUCGCUGUGAAGAUGCAGUGUACCCGCGGCAAGACGGAAAGACCCCGUGAACCUUUACUAUAGCUUGACACUGAACAUUGAGCCUUGAUGUGUAGGAUAGGUGGGAGGCUUUGAAGUGUGGACGCCAGUCUGCAUGGAGCCGACCUUGAAAUACCACCCUUUAAUGUUUGAUGUUCUAACGUUGACCCGUAAUCCGGGUUGCGGACAGUGUCUGGUGGGUAGUUUGACUGGGGCGGUCUCCUCCUAAAGAGUAACGGAGGAGCACGAAGGUUGGCUAAUCCUGGUCGGACAUCAGGAGGUUAGUGCAAUGGCAUAAGCCAGCUUGACUGCGAGCGUGACGGCGCGAGCAGGUGCGAAAGCAGGUCAUAGUGAUCCGGUGGUUCUGAAUGGAAGGGCCAUCGCUCAACGGAUAAAAGGUACUCCGGGGAUAACAGGCUGAUACCGCCCAAGAGUUCAUAUCGACGGCGGUGUUUGGCACCUCGAUGUCGGCUCAUCACAUCCUGGGGCUGAAGUAGGUCCCAAGGGUAUGGCUGUUCGCCAUUUAAAGUGGUACGCGAGCUGGGUUUAGAACGUCGUGAGACAGUUCGGUCCCUAUCUGCCGUGGGCGCUGGAGAACUGAGGGGGGCUGCUCCUAGUACGAGAGGACCGGAGUGGACGCAUCACUGGUGUUCGGGUUGUCAUGCCAAUGGCACUGCCCGGUAGCUAAAUGCGGAAGAGAUAAGUGCUGAAAGCAUCUAAGCACGAAACUUGCCCCGAGAUGAGUUCUCCCUGACUCCUUGAGAGUCCUGAAGGAACGUUGAAGACGACGACGUUGAUAGGCCGGGUGUGUAAGCGCAGCGAUGCGUUGAGCUAACCGGUACUAAUGAACCGUGAGGCUUAACCU